RNAcentral lists this ribosomal RNA (2337 nucleotides) under Campylobacter jejuni. RNAcentral's name for it is "partial 23S ribosomal RNA". It matches the Rfam family "Bacterial large subunit ribosomal RNA", at positions 1 to 2342 of the family's 2925-position model. The record is from RNAcentral. Lineage: Bacteria; Pseudomonadati; Campylobacterota; Epsilonproteobacteria; Campylobacterales; Campylobacteraceae.
AGGUAAGCUACUAAGAGCGAAUGGUGGAUGCCUUGACUGGUAAAGGCGAUGAAGGACGUACUAGACUGCGAUAAGCUACGGGGAGCUGUCAAGAAGCUUUGAUCCGUAGAUUUCCGAAUGGGGCAACCCAAUGUAUAGAGAUAUACAUUACCUAUAUAGGAGCGAACGAGGGGAAUUGAAACAUCUUAGUACCCUCAGGAAAAGAAAUCAAUAGAGAUUGCGUCAGUAGCGGCGAGCGAAAGCGCAAGAGGGCAAACCCAGUGCUUGCACUGGGGGUUGUAGGACUGCAAUGUGCAAGAGGUAAGUUUAGCAGAACAUUCUGGAAAGUAUAACCAUAGAGGGUGAUAGUCCCGUAUGCGAAAAACAAACCUUAGCUAGCAGUAUCCUGAGUAGGGCGGGACACGAGGAAUCCUGUCUGAAUCCGGGUCGACCACGAUCCAACCCUAAAUACUAAUACCAGAUCGAUAGUGCACAAGUACCGUGAGGGAAAGGUGAAAAGAACUGAGGUGAUCAGAGUGAAAUAGAACCUGAAACCAUUUGCUUACAAUCAUUCAGAGCCCUAUGUAGGAAUACAGGGUGAUGGACUGCCUUUUGCAUAAUGAGCCUGCGAGUUGUGGUGUCUGGCAAGGUUAAGCAAACGCGAAGCCGUAGCGAAAGCGAGUCUGAAUAGGGCGCUUAGUCAGAUGCUGCAGACCCGAAACGAAGUGAUCUAUCCAUGAGCAAGUUGAAGCUAGUGUAAGAACUAGUGGAGGACUGAACCCAUAGGCGUUGAAAAGCCCCGGGAUGACUUGUGGAUAGGGGUGAAAGGCCAAUCAAACUUCGUGAUAGCUGGUUCUCUCCGAAAUAUAUUUAGGUAUAGCGUUGUGUCGUAAUAUAAGGGGGUAGAGCACUGAAUGGGCUAGGGCAUACACCAAUGUACCAAACCCUAUCAAACUCCGAAUACCUUAUAUGUAAUCACAGCAGUCAGGCGGCGAGUGAUAAAAUCCGUCGUCAAGAGGGAAACAACCCAGACUACCAGCUAAGGUCCCUAAAUCUUACUUAAGUGGAAAACGAUGUGAAGUUACUUAAACAACCAGGAGGUUGGCUUAGAAGCAGCCAUCCUUUAAAGAAAGCGUAAUAGCUCACUGGUCUAGUGAUUUUGCGCGGAAAAUAUAACGGGGCUAAAGUAAGUACCGAAGCUGUAGACUUAGUUUACUAAGUGGUAGGAGAGCGUUCUAUUUGCGUCGAAGGUAUACCGGUAAGGAGUGCUGGAGCGAAUAGAAGUGAGCAUGCAGGCAUGAGUAGCGAUAAUUAAUGUGAGAAUCAUUAACGCCGUAAACCCAAGGUUUCCUACGCGAUGCUCGUCAUCGUAGGGUUAGUCGGGUCCUAAGUCGAGUCCGAAAGGGGUAGACGAUGGCAAAUUGGUUAAUAUUCCAAUACCAACAUUAGUGUGCGAUGGAAGGACGCUUAGGGCUAAGGGGGCUAGCGGAUGGAAGUGCUAGUCUAAGGUCGUAGGAGGUUGUACAGGCAAAUCCGUAUAACAAUACUCCGAGAACUGAAAGGCUUUUUGAAGUCUUCGGAUGGAUAGAAGAACCCCUGAUGCCGUCGAGCCAAGAAAAGUUUCUAAGUUUAGCUAAUGUUGCCCGUACCGUAAACCGACACAGGUGGGUGGGAUGAGUAUUCUAAGGCGCGUGGAAGAACUCUCUUUAAGGAACUCUGCAAAAUAGCACCGUAUCUUCGGUAUAAGGUGUGGUUAGCUUCGUACUAGGAUUUACUCCGAAAGCGAAGAAACUUACAACAAAGAGUCCCUCCCGACUGUUUACCAAAAACACAGCACUCUGCUAACUCGUAAGAGGAUGUAUAGGGUGUGACGCCUGCCCGGUGCUCGAAGGUUAAUUGAUGGGGUUAGCAUUAGCGAAGCUCUUGAUCGAAGCCCGAGUAAACGGCGGCCGUAACUAUAACGGUCCUAAGGUAGCGAAAUUCCUUGUCGGUUAAAUACCGACCUGCAUGAAUGGCGUAACGAGAUGGGAGCUGUCUCAAAGAGGGAUCCAGUGAAAUUGUAGUGGAGGUGAAAAUUCCUCCUACCCGCGGCAAGACGGAAAGACCCCGUGGACCUUUACUACAGCUUGACACUGCUACUUGGAUAAGAAUGUGCAGGAUAGGUGGGAGGCUUUGAGUAUAUGACGCCAGUUGUAUAUGAGCCAUUGUUGAGAUACCACUCUUUCUUAUUUGGGUAGCUAACCAGCUUGAGUUAUCCUCAAGUGGGACAAUGUCUGGUGGGUAGUUUGACUGGGGCGGUCGCCUCCCAAAUAAUAACGGAGGCUUACAAAGGUUGGCUCAGAACGGUUGGAAAUCGUU